GACGAACGCUGGCGGCGUGCUUAACACAUGCAAGUCGAACGAAGUGGCGAACGGGUGAGUAACGCGUAAUCAACCUGCCCUUCAGAGGGGGACAACAGUUGGAAACGACUGCUAAUACCGCAUACUGAAGGAGGGGAUUGCGUCGGAUUAGCUAGUUGGCGGGGUAACGGCCCACCAAGGCGAUGAUAAGUAGCCGGUCUUCGAGGAUUAACGGCCACAUUGGGACUGAGAAACGGCCCAGACUCCUACGGGAGGCCGCAGGGGGGAAACUUCCGAAAUGGACGAAAGUCUGAAGGAGCAACGCCGCGUGAGUGAUGAAGGCCUUCGGGUUGGAAAACUCUGUUAAUCGGGACGCGGUACCGGAAUAGAAAGCCACGGCUAACUACGUGCCAGCAGCCGCGGUAAUUC
RNAcentral lists this ribosomal RNA (408 nucleotides) under uncultured bacterium. RNAcentral describes it as "partial 16S ribosomal RNA". It matches the Rfam family "Bacterial small subunit ribosomal RNA", at positions 28 to 526 of the family's 1533-position model. The record is from RNAcentral.